Molecule: ribosomal RNA, 773 nt
Filed under: uncultured bacterium
Lineage: Bacteria
Description: bacterial SSU rRNA
Rfam family: Bacterial small subunit ribosomal RNA
Source: RNAcentral
AGAGUUUGAUCCUGGCUCAGGACGAACGCUGGCGGCGUGCUUAACACAUGCAAGUCGAGCGGUAAGGCCCUUCGGGGUACACGAGCGGCGAACGGGUGAGUAACACGUGGGUGACCUGCCCUCAGCUCUGGGAUAAGCCUGGGAAACUGGGUCUAAUACCGGAUAUUCACGUGCUCCUGCAUGGGGGGUGUGUGGAAAGUUUUUUCGGCUGGGGAUGGGCCCGCGGCCUAUCAGCUUGUUGGUGGGGUGAUGGCCUACCAAGGCGACGACGGGUAGCCGGCCUGAGAGGGCGACCGGCCACACUGGGACUGAGACACGGCCCAGACUCCUACGGGAGGCAGCAGUGGGGAAUAUUGCGCAAUGGGCGGAAGCCUGACGCAGCGACGCCGCGUGGGGGAUGACGGCCUUCGGGUUGUAAACCUCUUUCGACCGGGACGAAGAGUGAUUGACGGUACCGGUAGAAGAAGCACCGGCCAACUACGUGCCAGCAGCCGCGGUAACACGUAGGGUGCGAGCGUUGUCCGGAAUUAUUGGGCGUAAAGAGCUCGUAGGCGGUGUGUCGCGUCGGCCGUGAAAACCUGGGGCUUAACUCUGGGCUUGCGGUCGAUACGGGCAUCACUUGAGUUCGGCAGGGGAGACUGGAAUUCCUGGUGUAGCGGUGAAAUGCGCAGAUAUCAGGAGGAACACCGGUGGCGAAGGCGGGUCUCUGGGCCGAUACUGACGCUGAGGAGGAAAGCGUGGGGAGCGAACAGGAUUAGAUACCCUAGUAGUCC